RNAcentral lists this long non-coding RNA (1439 nucleotides) under Gouania willdenowi (blunt-snouted clingfish). RNAcentral's name for it is "lncRNA (ENSGWIG00000026337.1)". Lineage: Eukaryota; Metazoa; Chordata; Actinopteri; Blenniiformes; Gobiesocidae. The record is from RNAcentral.
GAUUUAUCCAGAAUCAGAGAUGUCUGACAAGGAGGAAAUGGCUUUGGACGGGAGUCUGAAUGUUACCCUGACUUUAAGGCUGCUGAUGCACGGAAAGGAAGUUGGCAGCAUAAUUGGGAAGAAAGGAGAAACAGUGAAAAAAAUGAGGGAGGAGAGUCGUGCUCGGAUCAACAUAUCUGAAGGGUUGUCACCUGAAAGAAUAGUCACGAUCACAGGACCCACAGAGGGCAUCUUCAGAGCUUUCUCAAUGAUUGCACAGAAAUUUGAGGAGGACAUUACUGCAGCAAUGACAAACAGCAACGUAACAAGUAAGCCACCUGUGACACUUCGUCUGGUGUUUCCAGGGAGCCAGUGUGGCUCACUCAUUGGUAAAGGAGGCUCAAAGAUCAAAGAGAUCAGAGAGACCACAGGGGCCCAGGUUCAGGUGGCUGGAGACAUGCUGCCGGACUCCACGGAAAGAGCUGUCACAAUCUCAGGCACUCCACAGGCCAUCACUCAGUGUGUGAGACACAUCUGUUCCGUAAUGCUGGAGGUGAGCCCUGUCAAGAACCGGAUGAUAUUAGGGUUUACCAGCACUCUAGGCCUUCAAUAUGUCACAGUUAUUUUGGACAUGGUUUUUGGGCCCUCCUUGUCCUACUUUGCAGGAUUGGAUGCAUCAGCCCCCACAAGUUCACAUGAGAUGGCAAUACCUAAUGAUUUUAUUGGCUGCAUAAUUGGAAGACAAGGCAGCAAAAUCAAUGAAAUUCGCCAGGUCUCUGGAGCUCACAUCAAAAUUGCCAGUGCUACUGAUGGCUCAGCCAUGCGCCAAGUCACGAUCACGGGCUCGCCAGCCAGUAUCGGCGUGGCUCAGUAUCUCAUCAACGCCAGCUUAGAGAUGGCUAAAUACACCAUGCAGGCUGCUUCCUCCGUGACCCCAGUUGAUCUCAACAUGAGCUUCUCUCAGUCCGCCCCCACUGCCUCCACAUCUGCUACCUCUAUGGCCGUCCUGGCGGCAGCCACCCCAGCACCCACCGCCAUUAACGUCCACUCACCCUCCACCCUAUCAGCCAUACAAACCCCACACUACGCCGUUCCUGUUUCCAGCCUGCUUGGCAUGAAAACGCUCCCCUUCCUGGCUGUCCACCCAGCAGCCCCUUCAGGUUUAACACAGGGUUUGUCUGCUUACACUCCAAAAAUGCCCAACUCUGGUGUCAAGAAAUCAGAGCGGCAGAAGUUUGCUCCAUACUGACACCUGUUCUUUCAAAUCUUUUCAGUGACACACAACGGUUUUGCUACAUUAUUUAAAAAAAUACUAACUACCCGCAUGUAGAAGGUUCUUGACAUAGGAGAAAACCCAGGGGUGGGGGACCAUGUAUCUUGUCACCAAGUUGGAUGUAAAUACUUGGUGGUACAUACAGUAUAAGGGAAUAAAAGUAAAAUGUUUUGUAGGUAGAAUGGCA